Molecule: long non-coding RNA, 646 nt
Organism: Mauremys reevesii (Reeves's turtle)
Lineage: Eukaryota; Metazoa; Chordata; Testudines; Geoemydidae
Exons: 3
Source: RefSeq, a predicted model, not a curated record
UGGAUCUGCUCUCUCCACUACUGGUGUAGGACCCUGUAGAAGACAUCUACUGCCCUAAGCUGCUAGACCUGGCUGAUGCUGAGGAGCAGCUGGAUGGCCCUAGGUAGUGUAUCCUGAGGAGGUGGAGGAUGACCAUGGGACUCAGGCUUUGCUGAAUCAUGAGUGAUGGAAGCUUUGAGAUCCCCCCGGGCCUUUGUUGCAUGACAGGAUUGUGUAUAGAGAGAGCAGCUCCAGGCUGCUAGCAGCCCCCAGGGCAGGGACGAUGGCUGUGAUUGGUGAUGACUGGAGUGAGACCUCUUCAAACAAGCCCCCCAGUGUCCAUCAGACUGCAACAACUUCCAGCCACUCACUGCUGACUGUCAGGCUCAGGGCCAGAUGCUUUCACCAGGCCACUCUGAGCUAUCGAGUCCCCGGCUGGGCACUACUCUGCAAAUGCUCCCCUGGGUUCGAAAUGGCACAAAUCCUGCUCAAAUGAGUGGUGUCAAAUGUUGUUUGUACUGGCUGCACGAUCCAGAGGGAAAUCAUUUGCAAUGAGAAAAUGGAGAGGCUCUGAGGGCUAGAAAUACAUUUGGGUCCAAGAUGAGCAAUGAAGAGAUGAGUUUUUGCAGUAAUUCCUCACCCCGCUGUCAUCAGUGGGAUACAAACC